Molecule: ribosomal RNA, 128 nt
Filed under: uncultured eukaryote
Lineage: Eukaryota
Description: partial small subunit ribosomal RNA
Rfam family: Eukaryotic small subunit ribosomal RNA
Source: RNAcentral
CCCUGCCAUUUGUACACACCGCCCGUCGCUACUACCGAUUGAGCAUUAGGGUGAAAUCUUCGGACCGUGGCAUACUUCUGGCUUAGCCAGUCUUUGUCCGUGGGAGGUCGCUUAAAUCCUGAUGCUUA